UCUAAUUGAUUCCUAAAAUCUUGCUUUCUGUAUCUUCUUCAUGUGGCUUCCGAACCAUUGUUUUGGCUUGCCAUCACGACCCAAGCUUGGUGGCGGAGGGAUUUCCUUCAAGUCCAAAAUCACCACCCUUCUCUUGGCUUUCUCAAUUUGCUGAUUUUUUUCCUUGAAUCUUCUUGUCGAGACCUCAAAUUUGUAUUCAUAUGAAUCCAUGCCACCUUUUCCAUUGGUUUCCUCAACCUUCCUUUUCUUGUCUGCCUUGAACGUUGUUUCGGAUCUGCAUAUUUUGUAAACCUCGGCCUUCCUUUUGUUGUUUGGCACGUUAACGUUGUGAAAUCCAACCGGUU
RNAcentral lists this long non-coding RNA (344 nucleotides) under Olea europaea (common olive). RNAcentral's name for it is "long non-coding RNA (OEUR_LNC009366)". Lineage: Eukaryota; Viridiplantae; Streptophyta; Magnoliopsida; Lamiales; Oleaceae. The record is from RNAcentral.